CCAAAGAGAGUGGGUGGAUUAGGAUUCAGGGACCUCCAUGCUUUCAAUAUGGCCAUGCUUGCUAAACAAGCAUGGCGACUGCUUCAGAAUCCGUCCUCACUAUGCGCCAAAGUACUACAGGCCAAAUAUCAUCCAGGGAACAGCAUAAUCGAAGCGACUCCAAAAAAGGGAAUUUCGUAUUCAUGGCGUAGUAUUUUGAAAGGCGUG
RNAcentral lists this ribosomal RNA (207 nucleotides) under Triticum aestivum (bread wheat). RNAcentral's name for it is "partial small subunit ribosomal RNA". The record is from RNAcentral. Lineage: Eukaryota; Viridiplantae; Streptophyta; Magnoliopsida; Poales; Poaceae.